UGGGUGGGGCUAGGGAAGUGAGGGGAGCGGUAGGCCGUAGCACGGCGGUAGGUGGAGCAGAGGGGCUAGGUCUACCUCUAGGUUUCGGGAUCCGGCGAGAGGGGGCGAGGCGGAGGCACAGGUACCGCUGCCUGCGGAGGGGGGAGGCCGCGCGUUCUCGGGCCCCGGAGUCGGCCGCCGCCUGGUGGGACUUCUGCUGCGGGCCGGCGACGGCCGCCCCAUGUAGAAGUACACCUCGCCGCUCUGGUCCGGGCUCACGAAGUCCAUGUCCCACGACCCGGAUGGCACCCCCUUCGACCUGCGGCAGAGGGCCUAGUCCGCGUCGCGGCGCGAGAAGGAGAUGCUGAAGGUGCGGUUCAUGGAGAUGCCCGGGAUGGCGCGGUUCUGCCACGCGCGCGACGACCGCCCCGAGCCGCUCCUGCUGGCGGCUCUCCCCGACGCGUCCUGCGGGUUCGCGCAGCGGUUCCGGAAGGCGCUGCCGUGGGCUCCACUGGUAAAAACGACGGCGGUGGCGACACGGCCAACCUCCACGACGACGACGUAGACCGCCUCGACGUCGACGGCGGGGUUUCCCGUUGGAAGUAGUCUGUGUUGGGGUAUUGUCCCGGAGUUCCAAAACACGGGGUAGCGGGGAGAAAGAUUUAAUGACUUUGCUUUUACCGAUCCGGACUACACGGAGAACAUAGAUAACGAGCUAAACAAUACUAAACUAAGUGGUUCUCACUAAGAAGAUGACAGAACAUCGUACCAAUUUACCUUGUUGCUCCCUACAAAGGUUAAACCAAUAACGAUCUUAUUAAGUAGCUGAACUCUAUACGACCCUACAAAACGGACAGGAAUGACUUCUUCUAUUCUUACCUUAAAUUAACCUACCAGGGAAAGUAGCACGAAUCGACAUUUACACGGGGAGAAUGACUUCUUCUAUUCUUAGGUAUACACAAUACGUUUUAAUUGAAACAGUAGAACAUUCGCGAGAUCCGUCACAGAGCUCCCACUUUUUAUACUCUUGUUUUUUCUUAAUGACCUAAUUAAAUGUUGUAGGUAGGAAAUGAAGCAGGUACAGUAACAACAAAUGGGGACCCUCAUAAAAAUUGAACUUUUAGAGACCACUUGACGGUAAACCUCAUGUAAACGAACGAGACAAUUAAAAAAACCCAAUGAGGUAGAACGAGACAAUUCAUUUUAAACUAUACACCUCAUCGUCGUCAUUCGAUCUGGGAGGUAGAACGAAACGUGUAUCAGUUUCGAUGAGGUUCAAUCGUCGUGAUGACAAUUGAAGAGUUACACGAACCUAAUGUAAAUUGAACAUCAUGAGGUCAUGAGGUCAUUAAAAAGAAUCUCAUAAAUUGUUCUAACUUGACAUGUACACACCUCAUUAAAACGAACCUCAUAAAUUGUUCUAACUUGAACAGUUGUAAAUUGUCAUAAAAAAUCAUUCAUAUAACUUGUACGAAGACUUAUAAACGUCUAAGACUUGUACGUUCGUUUAGACGUCCUCAUUUGUUCAAGAACAUAAACCUAUAGUAGACAUGGGAAGAUAAUACUCAACUAACGUGUACUAACCCGACACGAAGGAGACUAAUGUAAGUCUUAACAAACUACAAUUACUACUACUAUAUGAUCCUCGUAAUGAAAGUGGAUGUUAUUAACCGAGUCAAAUUAUAUCAUAUUGGCUGUCUUGUAGAUGUUAAGGUCAGUACUAACGAGACAUGACAAUUCUUGUUUCUGAGUAAAACUGUCAAACAAAAAACAAACACGAUAGGAGAUAACUUACUUAAGUUAUUUCAAGAGUCUUAAGACGGACCGGAAGAUGAUCAGGUUUAGACUUCAUCAUAAUGAUUACAACAAUUCAACAGAUUUGUACGAACGACGAUCGAAAUUUCAACUAGAUUUCUUGGUAAGUACGUAAAUGUGUAAGUACUAAAGGAUGAGACAAACAUUAACAAGACCAAUUGACACGAUCAUCUAUAACGGACCCUAAACAUCGACCACAGACAACACAGUACAAUUCAGGAAUCACAAGUCAUGUACCAUGUAUAUCUCGACGCAUGUCAUCAAUGUUCUCAGCUAGCACCGCUCUCUAAUAAUAAAGAAGGAGUAUGAUUAUAGACCAAAUGUUACACCGCUCUAACAGUUCAAACAUUCGAAAAGUAGUGUGUUGGGAAAAGGAGGAGUAUACCUCAACGAGACAACAUGGUUUUUACAAUAGAUAAGCAUACACGAACAUGUUUUCCUAUGUUAAUAAUUAACAGAUCAAUGCUAAAAAUCGUAAACAACACGAAGGAUCCCUGUGGCUAGAGAAGAGAAGAUAUAUUGGGUGUGACUAGAAAUAACAAACUAACUGACCUUCUUCAAAACUACAUCAAAAAAAUUAGUACGUCCUCAAAUGAAACCUACUGUUUACACACAUUUAGUAGGUGGAGGAGUUACUACGAUUGGGUUAGGCUAGUAGCAGCUGUGAUAGUAGUAGUCCUAGAUUACAACAAACCCGACGACAACGACACUGCCUUCUAGCCUUCUCCGUACCUCUACGCGUGGUGUCAAAAUCAACUACAACGUGGUACAAAACCACGAACACAUAGACAAAAACGAACAUUCGUGUGAACAUACACGAACACAUAGCACGAACACAUAAACAAAAACGAACAAAAUCAACUACAACCUGCACGCCUGAACAUACACGACAACACAUAAACCGACUUACUAAAGACUUAAAUUAGUAAAUCAGUUCUCUUAAUAACUCACAAACGACAAGUUUACACAUUUAACCUUUAGUCACUUAUUUUUCUGGUUUACAAGAUAAGCUG
RNAcentral lists this ribosomal RNA (2807 nucleotides) under Triticum aestivum (bread wheat). RNAcentral's name for it is "partial small subunit ribosomal RNA". The record is from RNAcentral. Lineage: Eukaryota; Viridiplantae; Streptophyta; Magnoliopsida; Poales; Poaceae.